Lycium barbarum (goji berry) is the source of this 629-nucleotide long non-coding RNA. RefSeq lists it as uncharacterized. The record is from RefSeq and is a predicted model, not a curated record. NCBI's taxonomy places the organism in Eukaryota, Viridiplantae, Streptophyta, Magnoliopsida, Solanales, Solanaceae. The transcript has 2 exons.
CGUGGAGAAUGCAGAACCAGACUUGAAAACUCACAAGUGACAGUGAAAGGUGUAUUUGAGGCAACAAAACUGGUGGAUUAUGUAAGCAAAAGGACUGGAAAACGGGCAGUAAUCAUUAAAGUAGAACCCGAAAAGAAACCCGAGGAGGAGACGAAGCCCAAAGAAGAAAAAAAACCCGACGAAAAAAAAGCGAAGAAAGUUGAAGAAAACAAAGAGGAGAAGAAGAAAGAACUAGCAGGGGCACCAGCUAAAGAAGAAGCAGCAGCAACACAAGCUAAAGAAGAAACUGUUCAAAACAAGUUUAGGAUGUGUUUGCACCCUGUUUGAAAAGAUCAAUAUGAGAAUAUUGCUAUGUCACAAGAAGACGUAGUUCAUGCUCUUGUUGAUGAGUAUAGUGGGGAGGAAUCGGAUCAUGUCCCUAACACCCAACAUUGAUUUUUUUGAUUCGUAUACUUUUGGAUUGUAAUAUUGCUAUGUUUUCUUGGAUAUGUAUAUUUUUUUUAUGAUAGUUUUAAUUCGAAUUAGAUGUACUUGUGAAGGUGAAUUUGAUUGUAGGAAGUAGCUUAUGGAUGUUUUAACUUUACGAUGUUUAAGUGUUUGAAUAUAAAAAGUAGUUUAUGGUUGUUUAA